Molecule: ribosomal RNA, 396 nt
Filed under: Triticum aestivum (bread wheat)
Lineage: Eukaryota; Viridiplantae; Streptophyta; Magnoliopsida; Poales; Poaceae
Description: partial small subunit ribosomal RNA
Source: RNAcentral
AUGCUAGCAAGAUGGGCAGCAUAUCUGGAGAGGUUUAACUAUCUCAUCGUGCAUAAAUCUGGAAUAACUAACAAAGUGGCCGAUGCUUUAAGUCGUUGUGCAUGCCUCUUGACUUCUUUUGAAGCUGAACUUCCGGACAUGGAUCAAAUAAACGAGUUGUAUGAGGGUGACGAAGACUUUGGCCAUGUUUGGGUAAAGCACGCAAGGGGCCAACCAUUAGGUGAUGACUAUUUGAUGCAAGAUGGAUAUCUCUUAAAAAUGAUUGUUUUUGCAUUCCAAGAAGUCCUCUACAUGACAAGCUGGUUAGAGAGCUCCAUUCAAGUGAUCUUAGUGGCCAUGUUGGACGGGACAAGACUAUCGCUAGCCUGGAAGCUUGCUACUUUUGGCCACAACUAA